GCCGAUGUGGCGGAAUUGGCAGACGCGCACGACUCAAAAUCGUGUUUCCUCGUGAAGUGUGGGUUCGACUCCCACCAUCGGCA
RNAcentral lists this transfer RNA (83 nucleotides) under Fervidibacillus halotolerans. It matches the Rfam family "tRNA". From Rfam's summary of the family: Transfer RNA (tRNA) molecules are approximately 80 nucleotides in length. Their secondary structure includes four short double-helical elements and three loops (D, anti-codon, and T loops). Further hydrogen bonds mediate the characteristic L-shaped molecular structure. tRNAs have two regions of fundamental functional importance: the anti-codon, which is responsible for specific mRNA codon recognition, and the 3' end, to which the tRNAs corresponding amino acid is attached (by aminoacyl-tRNA synthetases). tRNAs cope with the degeneracy of the genetic code in two manners: having more than one tRNA (with a specific anti-codon) for a particular amino acid; and 'wobble' base-pairing, i.e. permitting non-standard base-pairing at the 3rd anti-codon position. The record is from Rfam by way of RNAcentral. Lineage: Bacteria; Bacillati; Bacillota; Bacilli; Caryophanales; Bacillaceae.